Molecule: ribosomal RNA, 257 nt
Filed under: uncultured bacterium
Lineage: Bacteria
Description: partial 16S ribosomal RNA
Rfam family: Bacterial small subunit ribosomal RNA
Source: RNAcentral
UACAGAGGGUGCAAGCGUUGUUCGGAAUUAUUGGGCGUAAAGGGCGCGUAGGCGGUGCGAUAAGUCAGGCGUGAAAGGCCCGGGCUCAACCCGGGGACUGCGCUUGAUACUGUUGCGCUGUGGGUCCGGGAGAGGAUGGCGGAAUUCCCAGUGUAGAGGUGAAAUUCGUAGAUAUUCGCAAGAACACCAGUGGCGAAGGCGGCUUACUGGUCCGGUUCUGACGCUGAGGCGGCGAAAAGCGUUGGGGAGCAAACAGG